UACGGAGGGUGCAAGCGUUAUUCGGAAUUAUUGGGCGUAAAGAGCGCGUAGGCGGUUUCUUAAGUCAGAUGUGAAAGCCCAGGGCUUAACCCUGGAAGUGCAUUUGAAACUAAGGGACUUGAGUAUGGGAGAGGGAAGUGGAAUUCCUGGUGUAGCGGUGAAAUGCGUAGAUAUCAGGAGGAACACCGGUGGCGAAGGCGACUUCCUGGACCAAUUCUGACGCUGAGGCGCGAAGGCGUGGGGAGCAAACAGG
RNAcentral lists this ribosomal RNA (253 nucleotides) under uncultured bacterium. RNAcentral describes it as "partial 16S ribosomal RNA". It matches the Rfam family "Bacterial small subunit ribosomal RNA", at positions 524 to 776 of the family's 1533-position model. The record is from RNAcentral.